Lepus europaeus (European hare) is the source of this 3163-nucleotide long non-coding RNA. RefSeq lists it as uncharacterized. The transcript is spliced from 3 exons. Lineage: Eukaryota; Metazoa; Chordata; Mammalia; Lagomorpha; Leporidae. The record is from RefSeq and is a predicted model, not a curated record.
AGCGGUUAAACUUUGCCAGGUGGGGUGAGCAGGGCCCUGCUGCUCGGGAAAGGAUCCGUGUCCCCAGCUCCUGGCUGUCACCUGCCCAACCGCCUGUCUGCUGGCGCCAGGAAGACCAGGCAGGUGCGCCCUGCCCCGCCCAGCUCACCGGCUGGGGUCUCUCCCCUUGCAUCGGUUUGCAAGAGGAGUAUGUUGUGCUGCGCAGUUUAGAACGGUCCAGUAAGCCCAGUGAGGCGCAGGACCAGGACUAGAACACCUUCCCUCGGAUUCUAGCGUGGUGUGUGUGCACGUGUGUGUGCGCGCGCUCAGCAUCUGUAAUGGCAGCACACGCACAAAACGAGGACUGGCAGCCUAGGUGCACAGUUUGGUGACCACUCAUGACAUGGACACCCGCAUGGAACCAGCACCCUGGUCCAAGACGGAACAUUCCAGACCCCGCGUUCCCUGCCCCCACUACCCGCCUCCCAAGGGUAGUCACGUCGCUGACCCCCUCCCUCCUCGCAAAGCCGAGCCUUGUCUGUCGUUGAAUCUGACACAACCAGCACACAGCAGGUGCGCACGGCAGGCGCCGCUCCAGAACCUUCGAUGCGGAGCCGUUCUGUGUGCGGCGUCUCCCGGGCAGCACCGUGCGGUGCAGAGCCGCGGUUCGCUCUCUGUCCAGGCUGCGUGGUGCUCCCUGGGCUGGACAUCCCGUGACCAAGCGGCCCAUCCAGCGGUGGCCUGCGGGAGCCUUGCGCGUGCGCCGCCCGCCGUGAGCUGCUCCUACGCGGGGUGGCAAGGACCCAGGCACUGAAGCCAUCACCUGCAGUCUCCCAGGAUGUGUUGGCAGGAAGCUGGAUCAGAACCAGAGCAGCCAGGACUCAGCCAGUGCUCUGAUACGGGAGGCCGGCAUUGCAAGUGGUGGCUUAGCCUGCUGUGCCCAUCGCCAGCCCCAUGGGCGCUGUUUCUCGGCCCCACUGCUGGGCAUCUGCUGGGCUCCACUGAUGAUGUGUUUUUGGCUCCCUCUCCUGCCAUGCCCCGUGGGCGUCCCAUGGCGGCACCGCUCCCGUGACUGGUGCAUAACAGUGAGUCCUGAAGCGGCGACGCCCUGCCUCCGGUUUUGUUGUCCUUUCAGAGGGUGCUGCUGCUGUGGGUUUUUGCCUCUGCACAUAAACCUUGCAAUCAGUUUGUGGAUAAUCUCAAAGAAUGUUCUGGAAUUUUGAUUGGGGCUGCAUUGAGUCUCUAGUCAAGUCGGGAAGAAUCAACAUCUUGACAAUAUUGAGUCUCUUCUGCACACGAACAUGACAAAGCUUUCCAUUUGAUUCAUAUUUAAAAAGAUUUAUUUUUUAUUUAUUUGAAAGGAAGACAGACAGACAGACAGACACACACACACACAGAUCUUCCAUCCUCUGGUGCACUCCACAAAUGGCCACAACAGCCAGGUCUGGGCCGGGAGGAAGCCAGGAACCUGGAACUCCAGCCUGGUCUUCCACAUGGGUGCAGGAUCCCAAGUGCUUGGGCUACGCUCCACUGCCUUCCCGGGGGCAUUAGCAGGGAGCUGGAUCAGAAGUGGAGCAGCCGGGACUCGAACCGGCACUGCCAUCUCAAGUGACGGCUUAGCUGCUGAGCCACAGCCCGGCCACUUUUCCGUUCUUCGAUCUCUUUCACCAGUUUCGUAGUUUUCCUCACUUAGAUCUUGCGGGAUUUUGUUGGAUUUACCCCCAAGAAUUUCGCUAUUUGGGGUGCGAGUGUAAAUGGCAUUGCCUUUGGCUCCCUGUUCCACCUUCCACUGCUGCUCUGUUUCUUUUUAUCGCUGCUCCCCACUCCACUCCACUCCCCACUCCUGAGCCUGGGUCUCCACCGACCGCCACAUCCGGGCUAUUUAUUUUCCACCCGUGUCUGGGCAAAGUCUUCUGCAUCCCAGAACCCCCAGCACAGGUUCUGAGCUUUACCUUCCUGAAGGCAGGAGAACACACAGUGGUUCUUUCCUCCUCCUCCCCCGUCUUCUGUUCGGUUACAGUUUUAUUGAGCUGAGCCUCGUGUAUCUGACUGUUCGCCCACUGAGAACGUGCCCCUCUGUGGGUUUUAGUCUAGUCCCAGAAUCGUGCGACCAACACCACAAUCCAUCCUUAGGGCACCCGUCGCCCCCUCCUCCCCCAUAAAGCCUGCCCCCAUCCAGUCCGUCGCUCAUGGCUCCCAGCUCGAGCUGUGACCAGGCCGGGACUGGGCUUGGGCCACUCAGCGCCCCUGGCUGCUGCACAGUGGAGAUAUGAGCAGCAGGUUGUGGGGAUGUGGCCACGAUGUCCACUCUCUGCCCCUCCCCUACCCCACAAUGCUGGCAGCCUCCUGAAGUGCACCUGACACGGGCCUUGCCCGCCUUCCCAAACUCUUGUGUUAAACUUUGUUUAGUUAAGUGGGUGGCAGGGGCCCAAACACCUGGGCCAUCUUCUGCUUUCCCAGGAAAUGGGGCAGCCGGGACUGGAACCAGUACCUGUAUGGGAUGCCGGCACUGCAGGCAGUGGCUUUACCCGCUACGCCACAACACCAGCCCCAAGAUAAGUGUUUUAAAUCCUAAACUUUGGAUUCUGCUGCUCCGCUUCUGGCCCAGCUCCCUGCUAGUAGCCUGGGAAAAGCAGCAGAAGACGGCCCACGUCCUUGGGCCCCUGCACCCGCGUGGGGGACCCGGAGGAAGCUCCUGGCUCCUGGCUCUGGCCUGGCCCAGCCCUGACCGUUGCAGCCAUUUGGAGAGUGAAUCAACGGAUGGAAGAUCUGCCCCUCUGUAACUCUUUCAGUUAAAUAGGAGCCCCACAAAACACUUGCUGUCCCUCGCCCCACUUUCACAGAACGCACCCCUGCCCGGAGUCCUCUUCCUUUAGAAGUUAUCUAUUUAUUUGCCUGACGGACAGCAAGCUCUUCUGUCCACUGGUUCACUUCCCCGAUGGCAGACGACAGCUGGGCCGACAGGGCCGGACCCGGGAGCCAGCAGCUCCAUCCCGGUCUCGGACGACAGCUGGGCCGACAGGGCCGGACCCGGGAGCCAGCAGCUCCAUCCCGGUCUCGGACGACAGCUGGGCCGACAGGGCCGGACCCGGAGCCAGCAGCUCCAUCCCGGUCUCGGACGACAGCUGGGCCGAUAGGGCCGGACCCGGGAGCCAGCAGCUCCAUCCCGGUCUCCCACCAGGUA